This is a long non-coding RNA of Patella vulgata (common limpet), 535 nucleotides long. RefSeq lists it as uncharacterized. NCBI's taxonomy places the organism in Eukaryota, Metazoa, Mollusca, Gastropoda, Patellidae. The transcript is spliced from 3 exons. The record is from RefSeq and is a predicted model, not a curated record.
UAUUCAAAUUCUCCACCAAACCAUGAGAUAACAACAAAAAUUUAUAAAAGCUUCUAACAUCCACCAAUGCCACCAAUUGUAUUGUCCAGAAUCGUUGCAUUCUCACUGCUUGAAAUCAGAAGACAUGCCAAUAGAUAAUGCAUUAUUUUGCUGAAGAUGUUAUUAGAUCGGAAGAUAAAGUAGACAAAGGUUGUUUGGUCUUUAUUCAAGUGCUGAUAUCAACAGUGUAAACAUUUACAACUUUUUUUGCAACUGAAAAGGCGAUAAGUGUGCAUUUCUCUGUGUCAAUUCUUGAAUCGCGAUAAGUAUAUUUUUCUAUGAGUCAAGUGAAUUAAAUAAAUGUACUCACUAUCUGCUGAAAGAUGGUUUCCAUUCUUCCACUUGAAAUAAUCUGAAAAAUAAAAAGCUGUACAUAUUAAUAUAAAACAGCUCAACUUAAAGAUGAUCUGAUGAUGAUGAUGAUGAUGGCGAUGAUGAUAUAACACCAUCAUUCCACCAAUGAGCGUUGCUUAACGACACUUUGACAUCAUGUGCA